Molecule: ribosomal RNA, 460 nt
Filed under: uncultured bacterium
Lineage: Bacteria
Description: partial 16S ribosomal RNA
Rfam family: Bacterial small subunit ribosomal RNA
Source: RNAcentral
CCUACGGGAGGCAGCAGUGAGGAAUAUUGGUCAAUGGACGGAAGUCUGAACCAGCCAAGUCGCGUGAAGGAUGACGGUGCUAUGCAUUGUAAACUUCUUUUGUGAAGGGAUAAACUGAGGCACGUGUGGCUUAUUGCAGGUACCUGAUGAAUAAGCAUCGGCUAACUCCGUGCCAGCAGCCGCGGUAAUACGGAGGGUCCGGGCGUUAUCCGGAUUUAUUGGGUUUAAAGGGUGCGGAGGCCGACUGUUAAGUAAGUGGUGAAAGUCCGGGGCUCAACCCUGGCAGAGCCGUGGAAACUGGCGGGCUUGAGAUGUCCGGAGGUAGGCGGAAUGCGCAGUGUAGCGGUGAAAUGCUUAGAUAUCACGCAGAACUCCGAUUGCGAAGGCAGCAUACCGUCGGCGAUCUGACGCUGAGGCUCGAAGGCGUGGGUAUCGAACAGGAUUAGAUACCCGUGUAGUC